CUCGAUCGCGGCGUCGCCGCGUCGUGGAGGCAAUAAAGACCACGGGUUGCACACCAGCACCGUCAUCUUCAGCGUCUCCAUCCUCUCCGUCCACGUCCAAGUCACCGUCGUCAGCGUCAUUAUCCCCGCCCGUUGAGUUCGACCACUCGGACGCCGACUGAUUGCUGCCAGUGGCACUAAACUUGAGGCUGCUUGACAUGCCAAACGAUACGGAUAGCGAGGCGCUGAGUGACGAGGCAUUCAACUGCUGGCUCACGUCCACGCCAUCUUCGUCCUCGAAAGCGUCGUCAAUGUGCGGGUGCUGAUGUUGCUGGUAGUGAUAUUGUUGGUAGCGGUGUCACCUGCCUGCGCCCGCACCCAACAGCAGGGCAUAAUCAUCGUUGGACUCGGGAAUUGGCGCCGCUGCCGACGCGGCACCAGGGGGCAGGCGCAGGAAACUGCCACCGCCGCCAGCACCCGCACCCGGAUCCCUUUCGCGCUCGCGAAGAUGCAGUGUGUCGCGUUGACGGGUCGACGGCUGAGAGCCUGCCGCUCCCGGCAAGUGUAGUUGUUGUUGUUGGUAGUUGCUAUUGCUACUGUUCCCAUCGUCGGCCACGCCUGCUAAAGGAAAUCGAGAUUGGGAGUGAGUAGAUUGACUUUCGGGCAGUGUAUUCAGCUUGCCAUCAUACACAGGCACGAUCAGGCGACUGGACGUUGCACCAUACAUGUUACCUGAUUGUGACGAGUUGCCCGGCAGCUGCUGAUCUUGCCGCUUGCUGAUCAGAUACUCGGACUCACUGCUGGAGCGGCGAGGACUGCGCGCCAGCGGCUGGUAUGUGCUGCGUCCCUGGAAGCGACGACUCAGUGAACUGCCCACGACGCCCAGAUGCUCGGUGACAUCCUCCUGCAUGUCGGAUAUGUCCAUCAUGGAGAGGAAGGCGCGACACCAGCUAUGGUUCGGGUUGUUCCAGUACUGCGGCGAGUUGAUGUGAAACGGAUGGUGCGGGAAGCUGUAGAUGUGAGCCACGGCCGCGAUAAACAUUUCGAUGCAGAUGAGGAAAUUCUGGUUGGCGAUAACAAAUACAUACAUAUUUGAAUUGGUUUUUGG
Molecule: non-coding RNA, 1087 nt
Organism: Drosophila melanogaster (fruit fly)
Lineage: Eukaryota; Metazoa; Arthropoda; Insecta; Diptera; Drosophilidae
Source: Ensembl